This 428-nucleotide ribosomal RNA is filed under the name uncultured bacterium. Its description in RNAcentral is "bacterial SSU rRNA". It matches the Rfam family "Bacterial small subunit ribosomal RNA", at positions 28 to 436 of the family's 1533-position model. The record is from RNAcentral.
GACGAACGCUGGCGGCGUGCCUAAUACAUGCAAGUCGAACGGUCUUUUCUAUGGAAGCUUGCUUCCACUGAGAAGAUAGUGGCGGACGGGUGAGUAACACGUGGGUAACCUGCCCAUAAGAGGGGGAUAACAUCCGGAAACGGGUGCUAAUACCGCAUAGUUUUCUUGAUCGCAUGAUCGGGAAAGGAAAGACGGCCUUUGUGCUGUCGCUUAUGGAUGGACCCGCGGCGUAUUAGUUAGUUGGUGAGGUAAUGGCUCACCAAGACGAUGAUACGUAGCCGACCUGAGAGGGUGAUCGGCCACAUUGGGACUGAGACACGGCCCAAACUCCUACGGGAGGCAGCAGUAGGGAAUCUUCCGCAAUGGACGAAAGUCUGACGGAGCAACGCCGCGUGAGUGAAGAAGGUUUUCGGAUCGUAAAACUCUGU